ACUCCUACGGGAGGCAGCAGUGGGGAAUUUUGGACAAUGGGCGAAAGCCUGAUCCAGCCAUGCCGCGUGCAGGAUGAAGGCCUUCGGGUUGUAAACUGCUUUUGCACGGAACGAAAAGCCUCUUUCUAAUAAAGAGGGGUCAUGACGGUACCGUAAGAAUAAGCACCGGCUAACUACGUGCCAGCAGCCGCGGUAAUACGUAGGGUGCAAGCGUUAAUCGGAAUUACUGGGCGUAAAGCGUGCGCAGGCGGUUUUGUAAGACAGAGGUGAAAUCCCCGGGCUCAACCUGGGAACUGCCUUUGUGACUGCAAGGCUGGAGUGCGGCAGAGGGGGAUGGAAUUCCGCGUGUAGCAGUGAAAUGCGUAGAUAUGCGGAGGAACACCGAUGGCGAAGGCAAUCCCCUGGGCCUGCACUGACGCUCAUGCACGAAAGCGUGGGGAGCAAACAGGAUUAGAUACCCUGGUAGUCCACGCCCUAAACGAUGAGAACUAGCCGUCUGGAGUCUUCGUGCUCUGGGUGGCGCAGCUAACGCGUGAAGUUCUCCGCCUGGGGAGUACGGCCGCAAGGUUAAAACUUAAAGGAAUUGACGG
RNAcentral lists this ribosomal RNA (590 nucleotides) under uncultured bacterium. RNAcentral's name for it is "bacterial SSU rRNA". It matches the Rfam family "Bacterial small subunit ribosomal RNA", at positions 335 to 916 of the family's 1533-position model. The record is from RNAcentral.